GCAAUGUGCUAAGAUACUUUUUUACUAGCAUACAACUUGAUGACGUGAGUUUUAUUGUUUGUAUUUUUUCACAUUAAAAAACAGACUUAGAAGAUGUGACUUGCCCAUAGUCACCCAAGUAGUAAAAAGAAUAGAGCUGAGGUUUAAAAUGUUUUUAAUCUAUCAUUGUUUUACUGCGCAACUUCUCAUUUUCUUUAUAUAGAAGAGAAUCAAUAUUAUAAGUUCUAAAAAAUUAACAUUUCAUAGAAUUCUCUUGAUAGGAACAGUCCACUUGCAAAUAGAGAGUUUUCUCUUUUAGGGGAUGAAGGUUUUCAUCUCUUUUGGAAGAUCUGAGGGAUUCUGUGAGCCCCAGAACAGUGUCUUAUCUGCAACUGUGAAUUGGAACCUGGUGUGAGAGCCCUGACUGUAAACCUUAGAACAAACAAAAGACAGCCCUCCAUCCCUCAGGGUCAUAAAAACAAGGAAGCAUUUGAUGGAGUUCAUAAAUAUACAGAAUACUUCCAUUUUCAUAUAAUUGCUGCACCUGUCCAGGGACACUUUCUUAAUCCAAAUGGGAGCUACCCAGUGAGCAAGGAACUGCCUCUCACCCUGGCAUUUCACCUCCUCAACACCUUUCACCCCUCCCUGCUUCUUUGGUAGAUGGAUCAAGAAGCCUGCUGGAGCUUGAGAGUCCUGGAGAAGCUGCCUCUUCCUUGACCCCAUCACUACUCUGUACACAGCUGGAUCUCUUGGAAAUUACCAACCCUGGAGAGAAGUGUCUUUGACUUCUCUCCUGGCCUGGACAAACCACAGAGGAAACUUAAGGCAAAGAAGUCAACAUAGCACAGAGUCUGAGACUCUGAGGAAUGUGAUAUGGAGAUGGAAAAAUGGGGUAAGCCCUGGACUGCAUGGCGCCAAUUUCUCCAGCAGACCCUAGCAGAAGAAUCCAUCUCCCUUCUGAGAUUUAUGAUAUCCAGCUCCCAUCAGGCUAUGUCUGAGGAUCUCCAUUUGAUAUUAUUGCACUAGAAUCGAAUGUGUGCAACAAGUUAGCUGGUGAGAGAGCCUGGUUAUGGCUUUAAUGACUGCUAUGCUGAGAUCCUGCUUUGUUAGUCUUUUUAUCAACACCAUGAAGUGAGCUGAUUUAACACUACAUAUUAUAGAUGAGAAAAAAAUGUACCUAACGAAGUUAAAUAACAUACCUAAAUUCAAAUAAUUAAUAAAAGGCAU
Molecule: long non-coding RNA, 1206 nt
Filed under: Macaca fascicularis (crab-eating macaque)
Lineage: Eukaryota; Metazoa; Chordata; Mammalia; Primates; Cercopithecidae
Description: lncRNA (ENSMFAG00000062593.1)
Source: RNAcentral